This 575-nucleotide ribosomal RNA is filed under the name uncultured bacterium. Its description in RNAcentral is "bacterial SSU rRNA". It matches the Rfam family "Bacterial small subunit ribosomal RNA", at positions 76 to 658 of the family's 1533-position model. The record is from RNAcentral.
GGCUUCGGCCAAUGGAACUUGAAGUUAGUGGCGAACGGGUGAGUAACGCGUGAGUAACCUGCCUUUCAGUGGGGGACAACAGUUGGAAACGACUGCUAAUACCGCAUAAUGUGCGAAGGGGGCAUCCUCUUUGUACCAAAGAUUUAUUGCUGAAAGAUGGACUCGCGUCUGAUUAGCUUGUUGGCGGGGUAACGGCCCACCAAGGCGACGAUCAGUAGCCGGGUUGAGAGACUGAACGGCCACAUUGGGACUGAGAUACGGCCCAGACUCCUACGGGAGGCAGCAGUGGGGAAUAUUGGGCAAUGGGCGAAAGCCUGACCCAGCAACGCCGCGUGAAGGAAGAAGGCCCUCGGGUUGUAAACUUCUUUUACCAGGGACGAAACAAAUGACGGUACCUGGAGAAAAAGCUCCGGCUAACUACGUGCCAGCAGCCGCGGUAAUACGUAGGGAGCAAGCGUUGUCCGGAUUUACUGGGUGUAAAGGGCGUGUAGGCGGAGACGCAAGUCAGAAGUGAAAUCUCGGGGCUCAACCCCGAAACUGCUUUUGAAACUGUGUCCCUUGAGUGAUGGAGAGGC